ACAGCCAUAUAACAUUGAAGCAGUGGUUCUUGUAUGAUCACUGAAGUUAAGCAACAUUGAGCCUGGUUAGUGCCUAAAUGGGUGACCGCUUGGAAAUACCAGGUGCUGUAAG
Molecule: non-coding RNA, 112 nt
Organism: Acanthosepion pharaonis
Lineage: Eukaryota; Metazoa; Mollusca; Cephalopoda; Sepiida; Sepiidae
Source: the annotation of a GenBank genome assembly